RNAcentral lists this ribosomal RNA (301 nucleotides) under uncultured bacterium. RNAcentral's name for it is "partial 16S ribosomal RNA". It matches the Rfam family "Bacterial small subunit ribosomal RNA", at positions 509 to 809 of the family's 1533-position model. The record is from RNAcentral.
CAGCCGCCGCGGGAAUACGUAGGGCGCAAGCGUUAUCCGGAAUUAUUGGGCGUAAAGAGCUCGUAGGCGGUUUGUCGCGUCUGCCGUGAAAGUCCGGGGCUCAACCCCGGAUCUGCGGUGGGUACGGGCAGACUAGAGUGAUGUAGGGGAGACUGGAAUUCCUGGUGUAGCGGUGAAAUGCGCAGAUAUCAGGAGGAACACCGAUGGCGAAGGCAGGUCUCUGGGCAUUAACUGACGCUGAGGAGCGAAAGCAUGGGGAGCGAACAGGAUUAGAUACCCCUAGUCCCUGUCUCUUAUACAC